Molecule: ribosomal RNA, 345 nt
Filed under: uncultured bacterium
Lineage: Bacteria
Description: bacterial SSU rRNA
Rfam family: Bacterial small subunit ribosomal RNA
Source: RNAcentral
AGUGUAGAUUCAGAGUUUGAUCCUGGCUCAGGACGAACGCUGGCGGCGUGCUUAACACAUGCAAGUCGAACGAUGAAGUCCGGGGCUUUUUUGUUUUGGUGGAUUAGUGGCGAACGGGUGAGUAAUACGUGAGUAACCUGCCCUUGUCUUUGGGAUAAGCCUGGGAAACUGGGUCUAAUACCGGAUAUUCUGCUCUUGCCGCAUGGUGGGGGUUGGAAAGAUUUUUUGGAUGGGGAUGGGCUCACGGCCCAUCAGCUUGUUGGUGGGGUGAUGGCCUACCAAGGCGUCGACGGGUAGCCGGCCUGAGAGGGUGACCGGCCACAUUGGGACUGAGAUACGGCCCAG